This is a long non-coding RNA of Toxorhynchites rutilus septentrionalis, 1071 nucleotides long. RefSeq lists it as uncharacterized. NCBI's taxonomy places the organism in Eukaryota, Metazoa, Arthropoda, Insecta, Diptera, Culicidae. The record is from RefSeq and is a predicted model, not a curated record. The transcript has 3 exons.
UUUCAUGCUCAAGAAUAUUUUGUUUGUAUAUUUUUACAUACCAUUUGGGUGGUCAACCCAAAUAGUAUAUAAAAAUAUACAAACAAAAUAUUCCUGAGCAUGAAAAUUCCGCUUGAGCUGCCCAAGCUGGACUACCAAAAACGCAAGCUUCGCAUCUUAUUAAUAUUUGCUCCCAGGGCGACUUUCCGACUUCCGGGGCAUUGUAAGAAAACUUGCAUCAAGUGUCUGUUGCGGGAACUUCACGGACCGGACGUGGAACGGGUUCAACGCCCUCGAACCGGACGUGAACUUCACAACGCCCUCGAACCGGAAGGUAGAAAUCAUGACCUUCAGCAGUAAUUACCACAUCGAGGUGAAUCCAUCGGAUGUCGGGAUAUAUGACAGGGUGGACGUGAUGGAUUUGAUCAAGCAAAUUGCUUAGACGGGUUAUUCCCGCGGUCCAUCUGAGAAGGAUAUUCUUAAAAUUUUGAAUCACAUCGGGAAGAAAAGAAUUACCGCUAAGUCUGACCAAUUUGCGACGCGCUAUCCUCAUGCUGGAAGCUUGCGAGGUACAACAGUAUCCCUUCACGGUGAACCAAGAGGUGUCGGAAAUCGCAUGAAUACUUGUCAUUACUCCGAGAAACCGUCAACCAAAUUGUCCUCGAGCAAAGUCCACAGAAGCUGGAAGCGGUUAUACUUAACUCUAAACAAAGAAACCACGCCGUGUCGGUUUCCAUUCGCUAUGAAACCGCUACAAGGCGAAAAUUGCAAGUCUGGGAAUGCCAGGGCCAACAAUUCGAAUGUAGCGAUGAUUCGAUUGAUGGGAUAUUUUUCCUUCACAACUUUGUCCACCUUGUAGAUGUAAACCACAUCCUGCCGAUUUCCUGAAAAUAUGUUCACAAAACAAGGCUUCUCCAAAUGAUAGACAGUCACAUCCGUAUCGUUGCUUUGUGAUAUUUAGAAUCUGAUGAGUAACCUCCUGUGGCCGCUUACCGCUCUAAAAAUCAAUGAGAAAAAUUGUAAAUCGAAAUCUGUAUUAUUUUACAUGGUUUUACCUUUAAUUCAAAUGUAGACGAAUGCGCAAUAAAUAAU